ACGCUCGACACCUACGGGAGGCAGCAGUUGGGAAUAUUGGACAAUGGAGGAAACUCUGAUCCAGUGACGCCGCGUGAAGGAAGAAGGUCUUCGGAUUGUAAACUUAUUUUGUCAGGGAAGAAAAAUGACUGUACCUGAAGAAAAAGCACCGGCUAACUACGUGCCACCAGCCGCGGUAAUCUGAGCGGGCUGGCAAGGC
Molecule: ribosomal RNA, 199 nt
Filed under: uncultured bacterium
Lineage: Bacteria
Description: partial 16S ribosomal RNA
Rfam family: Bacterial small subunit ribosomal RNA
Source: RNAcentral